Non-coding RNA from Myotis davidii, 35 nucleotides. The record is from Rfam. NCBI's taxonomy places the organism in Eukaryota, Metazoa, Chordata, Mammalia, Chiroptera, Vespertilionidae.
CUGUCUCUUGCUUCGACAGAGUUUGGACGGAACAG